GGGGUUGUGGCUCAGUGAUAGAGUGCUUACCUGGCAUGUAUGAAGCACUGGGUUCAAUUCUCAGCACUGCA
RNAcentral lists this transfer RNA (71 nucleotides) under Marmota monax (woodchuck). RNAcentral's name for it is "tRNA.Ala". The stretch from base 6 to 66 matches the Rfam family "tRNA", at positions 6 to 65 of the family's 71-position model. Rfam says of the family: Transfer RNA (tRNA) molecules are approximately 80 nucleotides in length. Their secondary structure includes four short double-helical elements and three loops (D, anti-codon, and T loops). The record is from RNAcentral. Lineage: Eukaryota; Metazoa; Chordata; Mammalia; Rodentia; Sciuridae.